GAUGAACGCUGGCGGCGUGCCUAAUACAUGCAAGUCGAGCGAACGGACGAGAAGCUUGCUUCUCUGAUGUUAGCGGCGGACGGGUGAGUAACACGUGGAUAACCUACCUAUAAGACUGGGAUAACUUCGGGAAACCGGAGCUAAUACCGGAUAAUAUUUUGAACCGCAUGGUUCAAAAGUGAAAGACGGUCUUGCUGUCACUUAUAGAUGGAUCCGCGCUGCAUUAGCUAGUUGGUAAGGUAACGGCUUACCAAGGCAACGAUGCAUAGCCGACCUGAGAGGGUGAUCGGCCACACUGGAACUGAGACACGGUCCAGACUCCUACGGGAGGCAGCAGUAGGGAAUCUUCCGCAAUGGGCGAAAGCCUGACGGAGCAACGCCGCGUGAGUGAUGAAGGUCUUCGGAUCGUAAAACUCUGUUAUUAGGGAAGAACAUAUGUGUAAGUAACUGUGCACAUCUUGACGGUACCUAAUCAGAAAGCCACGGCUAACUACGUGCCAGCAGCCGCGGUAAUACGUAGGUGGCAAGCGUUAUCCGGAAUUAUUGGGCGUAAAGCGCGCGUAGGCGGUUUUUUAAGUCUGAUGUGAAAGCCCACGGCUCAACCGUGGAGGGUCAUUGGAAACUGGAAAACUUGAGUGCAGAAGAGGAAAGUGGAAUUCCAUGUGUAGCGGUGAAAUGCGCAGAGAUAUGGAGGAACACCAGUGGCGAAGGCGACUUUCUGGUCUGUAACUGACGCUGAUGUGCGAAAGCGUGGGGAUCAAACAGGAUUAGAUACCCUGGUAGUCCACGCCGUAAACGAUGAGUGCUAAGUGUUAGGGGGUUUCCGCCCCUUAGUGCUGCAGCUAACGCAUUAAGCACUCCGCCUGGGGAGUACGACCGCAAGGUUGAAACUCAAAGGAAUUGACGGGGACCCGCACAAGCGGUGGAGCAUGUGGUUUAAUUCGAAGCAACGCGAAGAACCUUACCAAAUCUUGACAUCCUUUGACAACUCUAGAGACAGAGCUUUCCCCUUCGGGGGACAAAGUGACAGGUGGUGCAUGGUUGUCGUCAGCUCGUGUCGUGAGAUGUUGGGUUAAGUCCCGCAACGAGCGCAACCCUUAAGCUUAGUUGCCAUCAUUAAGUUGGGCACUCUAAGUUGACUGCCGGUGACAAACCGGAGGAAGGUGGGGAUGACGUCAAAUCAUCAUGCCCCUUAUGAUUUGGGCUACACACGUGCUACAAUGGACAAUACAAAGGGCAGCGAAACCGUGAGGUCAAGCAAAUCCCAUAAAGUUGUUCUCAGUUCGGAUUGUAGUCUGCAACUCGACUACAUGAAGCUGGAAUCGCUAGUAAUCGUAGAUCAGCAUGCUACGGUGAAUACGUUCCCGGGUCU
This 1372-nucleotide ribosomal RNA is filed under the name uncultured bacterium. RNAcentral describes it as "bacterial SSU rRNA". It matches the Rfam family "Bacterial small subunit ribosomal RNA", at positions 28 to 1381 of the family's 1533-position model. The record is from RNAcentral.